AGCAGCCGCGGUAAUUCCAGCUCCAAUAGCGUAUAUUAAAGUUGUUGCAGUUAAAAAGCUCGUAGUUGAAUUUCGGGAUCAAUGUUUCGGUCAUGCCCUUGGUAUGUACUGAUAUUAUUGGUUUCUCACCUUCUAAAGAACCGUAAUGCCAUUAAUUUGGUGUCACGGGGAAUUAGGACUGUUACCUUGAAAAAAUUAGAGUGUUUAAAGCAGGCUCACGCUUGAAUACAUUAGCAUGGAAUAAUGAAAUAGGACAUCCGAUUCUAUUUUGUUGGUUUCUAGGAUCGAUGUAAUGAUUAAUAGGGAUAGUUGGGGGCAUUAGUAUUCAAUUGUCAGAGGUGAAAUUCUUGGAUUUAUUGAAGACUAACUACUGCGAAAGCAUUUGCCAAGGAUGUUUUCAUUAAUCAAGAACGAAAGUUAGGGGAUCGAAGACGAUCAGAUACCGUCGUAGUCUUAACCAUAAACUAUGCCGACUAGGGAUCGGAUGAUGUUAAUUUGUUAGUGACUCA
This 509-nucleotide ribosomal RNA is filed under the name uncultured glomeraceous AM fungus. Its description in RNAcentral is "SSU rRNA". It matches the Rfam family "Eukaryotic small subunit ribosomal RNA", at positions 569 to 1078 of the family's 1831-position model. Lineage: Eukaryota; Fungi; Glomeromycota; Glomeromycetes; Glomerales; Glomeraceae. The record is from RNAcentral.